GAGUUGACCAAGGCUUAAGUGCUCACACGCAUUGCUUGAUCUAAUGACCUGGUAUAGCAGUGGUCGGGUCUGUAGCUCAGUUGGUUAGAGCGCACCCCUGAUAAGGGUGAGGUCGGCUGUUCAAGUCAGCCCAGACCCACCAAUACUGUGGGGCUAUAGCUCAGCUGGGAGAGCGCCUGCUUUGCACGCAGGAGGUCUGCGGUUCGAUCCCGCAUAGCUCCACCAUUCUAUACCAGCGUUGUUAUUGAAAAGCGCAGCAUGUGUUUUUCAAUGACUAUGUGGUCAGUGUUCUUUAACAAGUUGGAUUAACAAGUUUUGUAAUCAACAAAAUUGGAUACAUAUGUAUCAAUUUCAAGAGAUUACAGGCGCGUUUGGUGAUGCUGAUUAUAAAUCAGCAUUUAUCGUGUAAUCGGUGCCAUGCAUGAUCGGUCUCUUUGUGAGUUCCAGGAUUGUAUGAUCAAGUACCGAAGUGCACACGGUGGAUGCCUUGGC
This 492-nucleotide transfer RNA is filed under the name uncultured Gammaproteobacteria bacterium. RNAcentral's name for it is "partial 16S-23S ribosomal RNA intergenic spacer". The stretch from base 66 to 139 matches the Rfam family "tRNA". Lineage: Bacteria; Pseudomonadati; Pseudomonadota; Gammaproteobacteria. The record is from RNAcentral.